GGCGAAUCUCCCGGCGAUCUCUUUCUCCGGCGAAAUCGAAUUUCAGAAAUCGCAGGUAAGAAUGGCAGAGCAGAAGAAGCAGAAAGUGGGAUCUAAAAAAGUGAAUCAGCUUCGUCCGUUAGAUUUUGGGGUUAAUAUAACUGUGAAGGUGAUUAGUAAGAAGCUAAUUGCACAGAGAAAUCGUAUUGCUGAAUGUUUGGUUGGUGAUGAAACUGGAAUUAUUAUCUUUACUGCCCGCAAUGAUCAAGUGGAUUUAAUUCAAGACGGUUCAACACUAGUGCUGACAAAAGCUAAAGUUGACAUGUUCAAAGGAUCGAUGAGACUUGCUGUUGACAGAUUUGGACGUAUUGAAAUUGGUGCACCAGCCAGUUUCUCAGUGGAGCAAGAUAUUAACAUGUCCUUGAUUGAGUUUGAACGUGUAGACGUUGUUGUGUAAGCAACCAUUUUCCUCAAAAAGGUAACAAAAGCUUUGAAUACAAAGCUUAAUUCUAUCUCUUAGGUACUUUUCCCUUGCAUUUCUGGAAGAGAAAGACUAAGACACUUAUUCCCAAAGUAAAACUUUUUUGUAGUAUUGAAGAGGAACAAGCUAUUAAUUCCUGUUUACUUAUUAAUGUGUUGGAUA
Molecule: unclassified non-coding RNA, 622 nt
Filed under: Hevea brasiliensis (rubber tree)
Lineage: Eukaryota; Viridiplantae; Streptophyta; Magnoliopsida; Malpighiales; Euphorbiaceae
Source: RNAcentral